RNAcentral lists this ribosomal RNA (253 nucleotides) under uncultured bacterium. RNAcentral describes it as "partial 16S ribosomal RNA". It matches the Rfam family "Bacterial small subunit ribosomal RNA", at positions 524 to 776 of the family's 1533-position model. The record is from RNAcentral.
UACGGAGGGGGAUAGCGUUGUUCGGAAUUACUGGGCGUAAAGCGUACGUAGGCGGCUUUGUAAGUUAGAGGUGAAAGCCCGGGGCUCAACCCCGGAAUUGCCUUUAAGACUGCAUCGCUUGAACGUCGGAGAGGUGAGUGGAAUUCCGAGUGUAGAGGUGAAAUUCGUAGAUAUUCGGAAGAACACCAGUGGCGAAGGCGGCUCACUGGACGACUGUUGACGCUGAGGUGCGAAAGCGUGGGUAGCGAACGGG